UGGGGAAUAUUGGACAAUGGGGGCAACCCUGAUCCAGCAAUGCCGCGUGCGUGAAGAAGGCCCUAGGGUUGUAAAGCGCUUUCACCUGCGAGGAUGAUGACCGUAGCAGGAGAAGAAGCCCCGGCUAACUCCAUGCCAGCAGCCGGGGUAAUACGGAGGGGGCAAGCGUUGUUCGGAAUUACUGGGCGUAAAGGGCGUGUAGGCGGCGGAACCAGUCAGGCGUGAAAGCCCCGGGCUCAACCUGGGAGGUGCGCUUGAUACUGUUCUGCUAGAGUCCGGGAGAGGCGAGUGGAAUAUCCAGUGUAGAGGUGAAAUUCGUAGAUAUUGGAUGGAACACCAGUGGCGAAGGCGGCUCGCUGGACCGGAGCUGACGCUGAGGCGCGAAAGCGUGGGGAGCAAACAGGAUUAGAUACCCCGGUAGUCC
RNAcentral lists this ribosomal RNA (424 nucleotides) under uncultured prokaryote. RNAcentral's name for it is "bacterial SSU rRNA". It matches the Rfam family "Bacterial small subunit ribosomal RNA", at positions 355 to 796 of the family's 1533-position model. The record is from RNAcentral.